ACUACGGGAGGCUGCAGUGGGGGAUAUUGCACAAUGGGGGGAACCCUGAUGCAGCGACGCCGCGUGGGUGAAGGAGUAUUUCGGUAUGUAAAGCCCUAUUGGCAGGGAAGAAUUUAGACGGUACCUGACUAAGAAGCCCCGGCUAACUACGUGCCAGCAGCCGCGGUAAUACGUAGGGGGCAAGCGUUAUCCGGAUUCACUGGGUGUAAAGGGAGCGUAGACGGCCAGGCAAGCCUGGAGUGAAAGCCCGGGGCCCAACCCCGGGACUGCUCUGGGAACUGUCCGGCUGGAGUGCGGGAGGGGCAGGCGGAAUUCCUGGUGUAGCGGUGAAAUGCGUAGAUAUCAGGAGGAACACCGGCGGCGAAGGCGGCCUGCUGGACCGCGACUGACGUUGAGGCUCGAAAGCGUGGGGAGCGAACAGGAUUAGAUACCCGGGUAGUC
RNAcentral lists this ribosomal RNA (441 nucleotides) under uncultured bacterium. RNAcentral's name for it is "partial 16S ribosomal RNA". It matches the Rfam family "Bacterial small subunit ribosomal RNA", at positions 338 to 795 of the family's 1533-position model. The record is from RNAcentral.